RNAcentral lists this ribosomal RNA (240 nucleotides) under uncultured Lactobacillus sp. Its description in RNAcentral is "partial 16S ribosomal RNA". It matches the Rfam family "Bacterial small subunit ribosomal RNA", at positions 122 to 355 of the family's 1533-position model. Lineage: Bacteria; Bacillati; Bacillota; Bacilli; Lactobacillales; Lactobacillaceae. The record is from RNAcentral.
UGACCUGCCCAAGAGAUCGGGAUAACACCUGGAAACAGAUGCUAAUACCGGAUAACAACAGAUGAUGCCUAUCAACUGUUUAAAAGAUGGUUCUGCUAUCACUCUUGGAUGGACCUGCGGUGCACUAGCUAGUUGGUAGGGUAACGGCCUACCAAGGCGAUGAUGCAUAGCCGAGUUGAGAGACUGAUCGGCCACAUUGGGACUGAGACACGGCCCAAACUCCUACGGGAGGCAGCAGCC